Molecule: ribosomal RNA, 253 nt
Filed under: uncultured microorganism
Description: partial 16S ribosomal RNA
Rfam family: Bacterial small subunit ribosomal RNA
Source: RNAcentral
UACGGAGGGUGCGAGCGUUAAUCGGAAUUACUGGGCGUAAAGCGUGCGCAGGCGGUUUGUUAAGCGAGAUGUGAAAGCCCCGGGCUCAACCUAGGAAUUGCGCUUGUGACUGGCGGGCUCGAGUACGGUAGAGGGUGGUAGAAUUUCCAGUGUAGCGGUGAAAUGCGUAGAUAUUGGAAGGAAUACCGGUGGCGAAGGCGGCCACCUGGUCAGAAACUGACGCUGAGGUACGAAAGCGUGGGGAGCAAACAGG